Molecule: ribosomal RNA, 700 nt
Filed under: uncultured bacterium
Lineage: Bacteria
Description: bacterial SSU rRNA
Rfam family: Bacterial small subunit ribosomal RNA
Source: RNAcentral
AGUGGCGGACGGGUGAGUAACACGUAAGAAUUUGCCUUUAGGAGGGGGACAACAACUAGAGAUGGUUGCUAAUACCCCAUAUGCUUUCGAGUGAAAUGGAUUUUUCCGCCUAGAGAGAAGCUUGCGGCUGAUUAGCUUGUUGGUGAGGUAAUGGCUCACCAAGGCGACGAUCAGUAUCUGGUUUGAGAGGACGAUCAGACACACUGGAACUGAGACACGGUCCAGACUCCUACGGGAGGCAGCAGUGGGGAAUUUUCCGCAAUGGGCGAAAGCCUGACGGAGCAAUACCGCGUGAGGGAUGACGGCCUAUGGGUUGUAAACCUCUUUUUUCAGGGAGGAAUCAAUGACGUGUACCUGAAGAAUAAGCAUCGGCUAACUCCGUGCCAGCAGCCGCGGUAAGACGGGGGAUGCAAGUGUUAUCCGGAAUCACUGGGCGUAAAGCGUCUGUAGGUGGUCCAAUAAGUCAACUGUUAAAUCUUGAGGCUCAACCUCAAAAUCGCAGUCGAAACUAUUAGACUAGAGUAUAGUAGGGGUAAAGGGAAUUUCCAGUGGAGCGGUGAAAUGCGUAGAGAUUGGAAAGAACACCGAUGGCGAAGGCACUUUACUGGGCUAUUACUAACACUCAGAGACGAAAGCUAGGGUAGCAAAUGGGAUUAGAUACCCCAGUAGUCCUAGCCGUAAACAAUGGAUACUAGAUGUU